UACGUAGGGUGCGAGCGUUUUCCGGAAUUAUUGGGCGUAAAGGGCUCGUAGGCGGUUUGUCGCGUCGGGAGUGAAAACCUCGGGCUUAACUCGGGGCUUGCUUUCGAUACGGGCAGACUGGAGGUAUGCAGGGGAGAACGGAAUUCCUGGUGUAGCGGUGAAAUGCGCAGAUAUCAGGAGGAACACCGGUGGCGAAGGCGGUUCUCUGGGCAUGACCUGACGCUGAGGAGCGAAAGUGUGGGGAGCGAACAGG
Molecule: ribosomal RNA, 253 nt
Filed under: uncultured bacterium
Lineage: Bacteria
Description: partial 16S ribosomal RNA
Rfam family: Bacterial small subunit ribosomal RNA
Source: RNAcentral